Molecule: transfer RNA, 73 nt
Filed under: Bos indicus (zebu cattle)
Lineage: Eukaryota; Metazoa; Chordata; Mammalia; Artiodactyla; Bovidae
Also listed under: 4 other names
Rfam family: tRNA
About the family: Transfer RNA (tRNA) molecules are approximately 80 nucleotides in length. Their secondary structure includes four short double-helical elements and three loops (D, anti-codon, and T loops).
Source: Rfam by way of RNAcentral
UCCCUGGUGGUCUAGUGGUUAAGACUCUGUACUCCUAAUGCAGGACGUGUGGGUUCGAUUCCUGGUUUGGGAA